GCUUGUCUCAAAGAUUAAGCCAUGCAUGUCUCAGUAUAAGCUUUUACACGGCGAAACUGCGAAUGGCUCAUUAAAACAGUUAUCGUUUCUUUGGUGGUUAUUGAUUACAUGGAUAGCCGUGGUAAUUCUAGAGCUAAUACAUGCGCCCAGACCCAACUUUUAGGAAGGGUUGUAUUUAUUAGAUGGAAACCAAUUCGGGGUAACCCGGUUUAUGGUGAUUCAUAAUAACUUUCGGAUCGACGCAAGUCGAUGCAUCAUUCAAGUUUCUGCCCUAUCAGUUGUGGAUGGUAGGGUAUUGGCCUACCAUGACUUUAACGGGUAACGGAGAAUUAGGGUUCGAUUCCGGAGAGGGAGCCUGAGAAAUGGCUACCACAUCCAAGGAAGGCAGCAGG
RNAcentral lists this ribosomal RNA (392 nucleotides) under uncultured Synurales. RNAcentral's name for it is "partial small subunit ribosomal RNA". It matches the Rfam family "Eukaryotic small subunit ribosomal RNA", at positions 30 to 432 of the family's 1831-position model. The record is from RNAcentral. Lineage: Eukaryota; Synurophyceae; Synurales.